Long non-coding RNA from Homo sapiens (human), 1601 nucleotides. Ensembl annotates it as cancer susceptibility 19. Its record names the gene CASC19. The record is from Ensembl. NCBI's taxonomy places the organism in Eukaryota, Metazoa, Chordata, Mammalia, Primates, Hominidae.
AGGCCAGGCACUACUCUGUCCCAACAAUAAGCCCUGUACAUUGGGAAAGGUGCCGAGACAUGAACUUUGGUCUUCUCUGCAAUCCAUCUGGAGCAUUCACUGACAACAUCGACUUUGAAGUUGCACUGACCUGGCCAGCCCUGCCACUUACCAGGUUGGCUCUGUAUGGCUAAGCGUUUUCUCCUAAAAUCCCUUGAAAACUGUGAGAAGACCAUAAGAAGAUCAUAUCUUUAAUUCUAUUUCACAAGUCACACAAUAUUCCAAUCAAAUACAGAUGGUUGAGAAAAGUCAUCCAUCUUCCCUCCCCACCCUCCCACAGCCCCUCAACCACUGCCCUGAAACUUAUAUGCUGUUAUCCGCAGCUCCAUCUGGAGCAUCACAGCUACUGUCAACCCUGACGCUCUUUCUGAAAAAACACCGGAUGGACAUCAGAACUAUUUCUUUAAGGAUGUUACUGAGCCACACAGGAAAACUUGCCUUAUGAUUUUGAAUGCACGGAUCUGAUUUGACUAAACAUGAUAACUAGAGAAUCACCCAAUCUACUCCCAUUUUCAACUCUAAAUCAUCAGAGUGUCUCAAAUCCAAAGCACACACAGACCAGCCUGGCCAACACGGUGAAACUCCACCCCUACUAAAAGUAUAAAAAUUAUCCAGGUGUGGUGGCGGGCGCCUGUAAUCCAAGCUACUUGGGAGUCUGGAGGCAGGAGAAUCCCUUGAACCUGGGAGAUGGAGGUUGCAGUGAGCAGAGAUCACACCACCGCACUCUAGCCUGGGCCACAAAUCAACAACAACAACAACAACAAAAAACAAAGCGCACACAGAGACUGAGGUCCUCUUUGGCAUUGAGAAGAUGGCUAUGCAAGUCCCAACUAGCAAGUGCAAACUUCCCAGCUUCACUUCUGCCAGUGUCCCUUCACCCCUUCUCAACCCCACUGGGAGGCAGGAGGGUGCUUGACAAUAACAGCCUUGGCAUCACUCUGCCAGGGUGUAAUAGGAACUGUUACAAUUCUGAGAUUCUGUAAGUGCUUUGAGAUUUUGGAGUCAGACUGCUUGAACUUGAAUCCUGGCCCUCUCAUCAGAGACUUGACUUAUUUUAGGCUGUGGCUUGCCUUUUCACUUCUUGUGUCCUGUUUAAGAAAUAUCUGCUAUCCCAAGCAUCUGGCAUCUUUCUUGACAUAUGUAGCAGUUGCUUUUUGACAGCUUGCUUCUUCAGUGAAUGAAUAAAUUAAUAAAGAGAAAUGUGAUGUUCAGUGAUCCAUUUUGCAGAUAACACUAACAAAGUUGACCUUAGAAUUGGAGUGCCUGGGUUAGAACCCUGCUGGUACCACCUGCUUACUGCAUGCUUCUGAUGUGAGUUCAGGAGAAGACACUGGCAAGGACAGCAAAGAACAGGAGAACACUCUAGCUUCCCUGAUAGCAUUCAAGGUGCUGUCCAAACUGACUGUGAUGGCACCCUCCAGACAGACAGCGAUGCCACAUGUUCAAGAUGGCAGAAUCACUAUCAGCUUCAAUUCCUGAAUGACUGCAGAGCAAAAUUUCUUACCUGCAACAUACACUCUAUUUUCAGCCUCCCUGGACUGUUACAUAAUGAUACAUAAAAA